AGCCUAUGGUCGAUGAUCAAUGGCCACACAACCCCCAUUUUGUCGAAAAUAGCCAUGAAUGACCAUUUACAAUAAUACCGAAGGCUAACACCUACGGAUUUUUGACCAAGAAAUGGUCUCCACCAGAAAUCCAAGAAUGUGAUCUAUGGCAAGGAAACAUAUGUGGGGUGAUGUGUAUGAGCCUCUGGUCGAUGAUCAAUGGCCACACAACCCCCAUUUUUGUCGAAAAUAGCCAUGAACGACCAUUUUCAAUAAUAUCGAAGGCUAACACCUACGGAUUUUUGACCAAGAAAUGGUCUCCACCAGAAAUCCAAGAAUGUGAUCUAUGACAAGGAAACAUUUGUGGGGUGAGGUGUAUGAGCCUCUGGUCGACGAUCAAUGGCCACACAACCCCCAUUUUGCCGAAAAUAGCCAUGAAUGACCAUUUUCAAUAAUACCGAAGGCUAACACGUACGAGUUUUUAACCAAGAAAUGGCUUCCACCAGAAAUCCAAGAAUGUAAUCUAUGGCAAGGAAACAUAUGUGGGGUGAGGUUUAUGAGCCUCUAGUCGAUGAUAAAUGGCCACACAACCCCCAUUUUUUAUGAAAAUAGCCAUGAGCGACCUUGAAAAUAGCCAUGAGCGACCAUUUUCAAUAAUACUAGAGGCUAACACCUACGGAUUUUAGACCAAGAAAUGGUCUCCACCAGAAAUCCAAGAAUGUGAUCUACGACAAGGAAACAUAUGUGGGGUGAGGUGUAUGAGCCUCUGGUCGACGAUCAAUGGCCACACAACCCCCAUUUUGCCGAAAAUAGCCAUGAAUGACCAUUUUCAAUAAUACCGAAGGCUAACACGUACGAGUUUUUAACCAAGAAAUGGCUUCCACCAGAAAUCCAAGAAUGUAAUCUAUGGCAAGGAAACAUAUGUGGGGUGAGGUUUAUGAGCCUCUAGUCGAUGAUAAAUGGCCACACAACCCCCAUUUUUUAUGAAAAUAGCCAUGAGCGACCUUGAAAAUAGCCAUGAGCGACCAUUUUCAAUAAUACUAGAGGCUAACACCUACGGAUUUUAGACCAAGAAAUGGUCUCCACCAGAAAUCCAAGAAUGUGAUCUAUGGCAAGGAAACAUAUGUGGGGUGAGGUGUAUGAGCGUCUGGUCGAUGAUCAAUGGACACACAACCCCCAUUUUUGUCGAAAAUAGCCAUGAACGACCAUUUUCAAUAAUACCGAAGGCUAACACCUACGGAUUUUUGACCAAGAAAUGGUCUCCACCAAUAAUCCAAGAAUGUGAUUUAUGGCAAAGAAACAUAUGUGGGGUGAGGUGUAUGAGCCUCUUGUCGACGAUCAAUGGCCACACAACCCUAAUUUUUGUCGAAAAUAGCCAUGAACGACCAUUUUCAAUGACACUGAAGGCUAACACCUACGGAUUUUUGACCAAGAAAUGGUCUCCACCAUAAAUCCAAGAAUGUGAUCUAUGGCAAGGAAACAUAUGUGUAGUGAGGUGUAUGAGCCUCUGGUCGAAGAUCAAUGGCCACACAACCCCCAUUUUUGUCGAAAAUAGCCAUGAAUGACCAUUUUCAAAAAUACCAAAGGCUAACACGUACGGAUUUUUGACCAAGAAAUGGUCUCCACCAGAAAUCCAAGAAUGUGAUCUAUGUCAAGGAAACAUAUGUGGGGUGAGGUGUACGAGCCUCUGGUCGAUGAUCAAUGGCCACACAACCCCCAUUUUGCCGAAAAUAGCCAUGAACGACCAUUUUCAAUAAUACCGAAGGCUAACACGUACGAGUUUUUAACCAAGAAAUGGUCUCCACCAGAAAUCCAAGAAUGUGAUCUAUGGCAAUGAAACAUAUGUGGGGUGAGGUUUAUGAGCCUCUAGUCGAUGAUAAAUGGCCACACAACCCCCAUUUUUUAUGAAAAUAGCCAUGAGCGACCUUCAAAAUAGCCAUGAGCGACCAUUUUCAAUAAUACUAGAGGCUAACACCUACGGAUUUUAGACCAAGAAAUGGUCUCCACCAGAAAUCCAAGAAUGUGAUCUAUGGCAAGGAAACAUAUGUGGGGUGAGGUGUAUGAGCGUCUGGUCGAUGAUCAAUGGCCACACAACCCCCAUUUUUGUCGAAAAUAGCCAUGAACGACCAUUUUCAAUAAUACCUAGGCUAACACCUACGGAUUUUUGACCAAGAAAUGGUCUCCACCAGAAAUCCAAGAAUGUGAUCUAUGGCAAGGAAACAUAUGUGGGGUGAGGUGUAUGAGCCUCUGGUCGACGAUCAAUGGCCACACAACCCUAAUUUUUGUCGAAAAUAGCCAUGAACGACCAUUUUCAAUGACACUGAAGGCUAACACCUACGGAUUUUUGACCAAGAAAUGGUCUCCACCAUAAAUCCAAGAAUGUGAUCUAUGGCAAGGAAACAUAUGUGUAGUGAGGUGUAUGAGCCUCUGGUCGAAGAUCAAUGGCCACACAACCCCCAUUUUUGUCGAAAAUAGCCAUGAAUGACCAUUUUCAAAAAUACCAAAGGCUAACACAUUCGAUUUUUGCCCAAGAAAUGGUCUCCACCAGAAAUCCAAGAAUGUGAUCUAUGGCAAGGAAACAUAUGUGGGGUGAGGUGUACGAGCCUCUGGUCGAUGAUCAAUGGCCACAGAACCCCCAUUUUGCCGAAAAUAGCCAUGAACGACCAUUUUCAAUAAUACCGAAGGCUAACACGUACGAGUUUUUGACCAAGAAAUGGUCUCCACCAAAAAUCCAAGAAUGUGAUCUAUGGCAAGGAAACAUAUGUGGGGUGAGAUUUAUGAGCCUCUAGUCGAUGAUAAAUGGCCACACAACCCCCAUUUUUUUAUGAAAAUAGCCAUGAGCGACCAUUUUCAAUAAUAUUAGAGGCUAAGACCUACGGAUUUUUGACCAAGAAAUGGUCUCCACCAGAAAUCCAAGAAUGUGAUCUAUGGCAAGGAAACAUAUGUGGGGUGAGGUGUAUGAGCCUCUGGUCGAUGAUCAAUGGCCACACAACCCCCAUUUUUGUCGAAAAUAGCCAUGAAUGACCAUUUACAAUAAUACCGAAGGCUAACACCUACGGAUUUUUUACCAAGAAAUGGUCUCCACCAGAAAUCCAAGAAUGUGAUCUAUGGCAAGGAAACAUAUGUGGGGUGAGGUGUAUGAGCCUCUGGUCGAUGAUCAAUGGCCACACAACCCCAUUUUUGUCAAAAUAGCCAUGAACGACCAUUUUCAAUAAUAUCGAAGGCUAACACCUACGGAUUUUUGACCAAGAAAUGGUCUCCACCAGAAAUCCAAGAAUGUGAUCUACGACAAGGAAACAUAUGUGGGGUGAGGUGUAUGAGCCUCUGGUCGACGAUCAAUGGCCACACAACCCCCAUUUUGCCGAAAAUAGCCAUGAAUGACCAUUUUCAAUAAUACCGAAGGCUAACACGUACGAGUUUUUAACCAAGAAAUGGUUUCCACCAGAAAUCCAAGAAUGUAAUCUAUGGCAAGGAAACAUAUGUGGGGUGAGGUUUAUGAGCCUCUAGUCGAUGAUAAAUGGCCACACAACCCCCAUUUUUUAUGAAAAUAGCCAUGAGCGACCUUGAAAAUAGCCAUGAGCGACCAUUUUCAAUAAUAUUAGAGGCUAAGACCUACGGAUUUUUGACCAAGAAAUGGUCUCCACCAGAAAUCCAAGAAUGUGAUCUAUGGCAAGGAAACAUAUGUGGGGUGAGGUGUAUGAGCCUCUGGUCGAUGAUCAAUGGCCACACAACCCCCAUUUUUGUCGAAAAUAGCCAUGAAUGACCAUUUACAAUAAUACCGAAGGCUAACACCUACGGAUUUUUGACCAAGAAAUGGUCUCCACCAGAAAUCCAAGAAUGUGAUCUAUGGCAAGGAAACAUAUGUGGGGUGAGGUGUAUGAGCCUCUGGUCGAUAAUCAAUGGCCACACAACCCCCAUUUUUGUCGAAAAUAGCCAUGAACGACCAUUUUCAAUAAUAUCGAAGGCUAACACCUAUGGAUUUUUGACCAAGAAAUGGUCUCCACCAGAAAUCCAAGAAUGUGAUCUACGACAAGGAAACAUAUGUGGGGUGAGGUGUAUGAGCCUCUGGUCGACGAU
This 4056-nucleotide long non-coding RNA is filed under the name Zea mays. RNAcentral's name for it is "long non-coding RNA (ZMAY_LNC005765)". Lineage: Eukaryota; Viridiplantae; Streptophyta; Magnoliopsida; Poales; Poaceae. The record is from RNAcentral.